UACGUAGGGUGCGAGCGUAAUCGGAAUUACUGGGCGUAAAGAGUGCGUAGGCGGUUCGUUAUGUCUGCUGUGAAAGCCCCGGGCUUAACCCGGGAAUGGCAGUGGAAACUGGCGGGCUUGAGUGUGGCAGAGGGGGUGGAAUUCCGCGUGUAGCAGUGAAAUGCGUAGAGAUGCGGAGGAACACCGAUGGCGAAGGCAGCCCCCUGGGCUAACACUGACGCUGAGGCACGAAAGCGUGGGGAGCAAACAGG
RNAcentral lists this ribosomal RNA (251 nucleotides) under uncultured bacterium. RNAcentral describes it as "partial 16S ribosomal RNA". It matches the Rfam family "Bacterial small subunit ribosomal RNA", at positions 524 to 776 of the family's 1533-position model. The record is from RNAcentral.